CCCAAAAAAAAAAAAGAUUCAGUCCUUUCAGAAAUCAAAUAUGUAUUGCCAAAGAAGAUUUGCCCUGCUCCAAGCCUAACUUUCAGUCAGGUAGGUCCAGUGCCAAGAAAGAAUUCCCAUGCAAAAACAGUUCAUUUUAUCAGCAGACGUCUGCAAGAAAACCAGGUCAAACAGACAUGUCUCUGGCAGCUUGAUUCAUUUGCCAAUUUUAGUUGUCAAAAGUGAGUGAUGCUUCUUCUAGUCUAACAUUUCCAUGCAACCCAAAAAAAGGAACUUGAGUCCAAAGUAAUUCCAACAGUAUCAGGUAUGGCGUAAUGGAAAUUAACAUCAAGGAGCCCAACAAUUACAUUUGCCGCUUCUAUAUUUCACAGAACCCAUAUACGCUAUCACCAAGAAUUCCAGCACAGAAUAUACAUUAUCCAAUCAAAGGAACUCGACCCAGUUCAUAUGUUGCUAACAAAACCACGUUCCUCUGAUUGCUUCUCACCUUCUCGCUCACUUACUAUGCCAAGAAAAUUUAACUGGGAAUUCAGAGAGGCCAAGUUCCUCCCCGAACCCCACACAUCAUCCCAUGAACGAGGCCGGAAAACAUUGCACAGUGAAGCGAAGAAAGGCUCGUCGCUCUUUAGAAUUGGGUAUGGUUUCGGUGUCUCUCUCAAAAACACUGCGACACUGGACGUUGGAGGUUUAUGAGUGGCUUUCACAUCAAAUAAGACACAGAGGGAGACUAUU
This 732-nucleotide unclassified non-coding RNA is filed under the name Hevea brasiliensis (rubber tree). The record is from RNAcentral. Lineage: Eukaryota; Viridiplantae; Streptophyta; Magnoliopsida; Malpighiales; Euphorbiaceae.